AAGCGCUUGCGACCAGACUCGGUCGCGGAGGCUCAGCCGGUCUUUGGCCGGUGCACUCCUCCGCGGCCGGGCCAGCAUCGGUUUGGGCGGCCGGACAAAGGCGGCGGGAAGGUGGCCCCUCGGGGUGUUAUAGCCCGCUGCACAAUACGGCCUGCCUGGACCGAGGAACGCGCAUCUGCUCGGAUGCUGGCGUAAUGGUUGCUAGCGG
RNAcentral lists this ribosomal RNA (208 nucleotides) under Heliocephala sp. RNAcentral's name for it is "partial large subunit ribosomal RNA". The record is from RNAcentral. Lineage: Eukaryota; Fungi; Ascomycota; Dothideomycetes; Myriangiales.